GCAGAUGCUGAGUACUGACCUCCUUUCUUUCCAAGAUAUUAUUGCUUUAUAUAACCUGAUCCCCAGGCUGAGGUUUGGCUGGGCAGUAUAUCUCCUGCAGUGGUGAAAUUCUGGGCUUUGACAUUAAGGCUGGUGUUUGGGGAUGGUCUGUGGAUUUUCAGAUGGACCUACCCUGAGGAUCCAUUCUACCUUUUCCCCCUAAAUCCUCAUCCAUCCACUGUUCUCCUGGGGUCUCUUCAUGCCCUUCACCCUCCUCUGUUUGGUAGUGGGGUACCUCUGUCUCUUAUAUCUUGGGUUGGUCUCCAGACUUCCUGAUGAGGACUCUGUGGGAUGUGGGGACAGUCACUGAUGCACAGGCUUCUACUUCACAGGGGCACUGUCAGAAUCUGCCCAGAACAAGAUGCUGAAUGGAAUUGGGAGUCUUGUGCUGGAACUGAUUUUUCUUGGCUUGGGCCUUAGUGUCUACUUUUGCAAUAAGAAAGGUAAGUCACCUUUAGAGAAAAUGGGCAAGACUGGCUCUAGGACUAAGUGUUUCUGUUGUAACUUUUCUUAUCUCAGUGAAAAGGGGGAGCCAAACUAGGGAUAGAAGUAGAUUGCAGAAAUUUGGGAGGCCAUGAGUCUUUCUUGUGCUGAGCUGGAUGUUAGGUGAGAUGACAGGAGGUUACAGUUCUUACCUGUCCAGUUAACUAUGUGACCUGUGCUUCACCAAAACACUUAGACUGCUGAUGGGACUGGGGCCUUCUUCCACAUGCCUCUGCAGAAGCUUUGUGUUCACUUUAGCACAAUAUCCUCUUUAAUCAGAUACCAGGAGAGAUGGUGAGGAGUGGGUGGUUGUACAAAAUCACCCUUAGUGUUCCGAGUUGCAGAGAGGCCCCAGGGGUAUUGGGUAGGGGGCUGACUUUCUCUAGGGAUUUAACUUAUGACUUAUUUUUUCUCUUUCCUUCAGGGAUCAUGCACAGAUUCCAACAUUUUUCUUCCUGUUACCACUGUUCCAUGGUCUACUGCUGUCUUCACCAUUGUGCAAGUUCCUAGCCUCCCUUCUCUCAGGCCUGUGAGGAAUCCACCUCUGCCAGCCCUGUCCCCCAUCAAGACCUGAGUCCCAAAGUGCCUGAGCAGCAGAUGCCAGGCCCUCUUCUUUUGCACACUCAUACACACACACAUACACAAUUUUUAGUUGUGAUGGGUCUUUAUUUUAUUCAUUUGUUUAUAUGUGGUGCUGAGAAUUGAACCCAGUGACUCACACAUGCUAGUCAAGUGUUCUACCACUGGGCCAAAACCCCAGGCCCCUGGCCCUCUUCUUGUUCUGGUCUUUCCUGAGUUUCUGUGACUGCUUUCCACCCAACUCUGCUCCCUGUGCUGCUGCCACAUCUGUUUGGGCCACGAGUACUUUCAACAUGUUCCUGAUCUUGUCCUCUGUCUGAAGACUUC
RNAcentral lists this long non-coding RNA (1428 nucleotides) under Marmota monax (woodchuck). Lineage: Eukaryota; Metazoa; Chordata; Mammalia; Rodentia; Sciuridae. The record is from RNAcentral.